Molecule: transfer RNA, 70 nt
Filed under: Marmota monax (woodchuck)
Lineage: Eukaryota; Metazoa; Chordata; Mammalia; Rodentia; Sciuridae
Description: tRNA.Ala
Source: RNAcentral
GGGCUGGGGCUCAGUGGUAGAGCACUUGCCUGGCAUGCAUGAGGCACUGGGUUUGAUCCUCAUCACUACA